UCUCCUGUCUUAACCCUUGGUCCCUUCAGCAGUUUAUUUCAGUAGAUCUGCCUGUUCUGCUCCCCACUCUGUCUCUGGUGAAUUCUCUUACCCCCUCCACCUCUGGCCUGCACCUCACUUCUAUGCAAAAAUAAAUAAACAAAAUCUUUUUAAAAAGAGAAAGACCCAACAGAAGAAGCAGGAACUAGGAAGUCCAUUACACUAGCACUGAUUGGCAAGGACGCUGGGUGUUGUCAAGACAGUUGGAUGGAGUUGGAUAAGGGAACGUCUCUGACAUUGCAAAAUAGAAGACAGUCUAGCCCAUUUUUCAGGAAACAAAGCACC
Talpa occidentalis (Iberian mole) is the source of this 324-nucleotide long non-coding RNA. RefSeq lists it as uncharacterized. NCBI's taxonomy places the organism in Eukaryota, Metazoa, Chordata, Mammalia, Eulipotyphla, Talpidae. The record is from RefSeq and is a predicted model, not a curated record. The transcript has 3 exons.